Ctenocephalides felis (cat flea) is the source of this 185-nucleotide long non-coding RNA. RefSeq lists it as uncharacterized. The transcript is spliced from 3 exons. Lineage: Eukaryota; Metazoa; Arthropoda; Insecta; Siphonaptera; Pulicidae. The record is from RefSeq and is a predicted model, not a curated record.
GCAAGUUUUCAAUAAAAAUGGAGUUUAAACACAUUGAGAAAUCAGUUGUACAUAUUACGUGAAAUAUAAUAAAAUAUAACAUAAUAAAAUAUAACAUAACCUAAUCUUUUUGAGUGAAGACAUACUGCACUUUCAUAUUUAUAAAAGGUAAUAUUGUUGUAAGCGCAGAAAAUAGAGAAACUGGU